Hordeum vulgare subsp. vulgare (domesticated barley) is the source of this 85-nucleotide non-coding RNA. Lineage: Eukaryota; Viridiplantae; Streptophyta; Magnoliopsida; Poales; Poaceae. The record is from Rfam.
CAUGGAUCGAUGAUGUGUUUGUUAACUGCGUUAUCUUUCUGAACUUCCCAAGUAAAGAGGAAAGCAUUACCUACUGAGAUCCAAC